Pelobates cultripes (western spadefoot toad) is the source of this 201-nucleotide non-coding RNA. The record is from the annotation of a GenBank genome assembly. Lineage: Eukaryota; Metazoa; Chordata; Amphibia; Anura; Pelobatidae.
GUGUUUGUUUGUGUGUAUGUUUCUUUGUAUGUAUGUCUUGUGUGUGUGUGUGUGUGUAUGUAUGUAUGUCUUGUGUAUGUAUGUCUUGUGUGUUUUUGUAUGUGUAUGUAUGUGUGUCUUGUGUAUGUGUCUUUGUAUGUUGUGUGUGUGUGUCAGUCUGUAUAUGUGUGUAUGUAUUUGUCUUGUCUUUGUGUGUGUCUU